This 373-nucleotide unclassified non-coding RNA is filed under the name soil metagenome. RNAcentral describes it as "partial contains 5.8S ribosomal RNA, internal transcribed spacer 2, and large subunit ribosomal RNA". The stretch from base 1 to 120 matches the Rfam family "5.8S ribosomal RNA", at positions 35 to 154 of the family's 154-position model. The record is from RNAcentral.
GAUGAAGAACGUAGCGAAAUGCGAUAAGUAAUGUGAAUUGCAGAAUUCAGUGAAUCAUCGAAUCUUUGAACGCACAUUGCGCCCGCCAGUAUUCUGGCGGGCAUGCCUGUUCGAGCGUCAUUUCAACCCUCAAGACCCCUUCGGGGGACUUGGUGUUGGGGACCGGCACAGGGGCCUGCCUGCUUGUCUUGCAGCGCCCUCGCCGCCCCCGAAAUGAAUUGGCGGCCUCGUCGCGGCCUCCCCUGCGUAGUAGCACAACCUCGCAACGGGAACGUGACGGCGGCCACUGCCGUAAAACAACCCCAAUUUUAUUAGAGUUGACCUCGAAUCAGGUAGGAAUACCCGCUGAACUUAAGCAUAUCAAAGCGGAGGA